This 3169-nucleotide long non-coding RNA is filed under the name Sus scrofa (pig). RNAcentral describes it as "lncRNA (ENSSSCG00000058113.1)". The record is from RNAcentral. Lineage: Eukaryota; Metazoa; Chordata; Mammalia; Artiodactyla; Suidae.
CAUCUUAAAAAAAAUUCUAACUUAAUUCUUAGUUAACUGUUUUUCAAUACAUGCAUGGUCUCAUUGUGAUACACUUAUUGUGCUAUAGGGUUUGUAAUCUGAUAGGUGGUCUUAGGAAAAAGUUAAGCAUGUACAUUUCCUUCUUCUUUAACCUUAGUUUUGGUUUUUGUUAUUUAAACAAAUGAAUUCCUGAGUUUUUGUAGUGCUAUUGCAUAAUUUAGGAAAAGCUCCUGUGGUCAGUAUUAGUCAUUUUAGUUUGACCAAAGAGUACUUUUUUAAAAGAGCAGUAUUCCUCUGACAUGCGUUUUCUGCAUGAUAGGUGCAGUUAGGCAAUAGCAACACAUCCAAGGAUGAAACUGAAUGCGUAACAAAAGGUUAAAGGGUUUUCCAACAGAUUACUGAGAAUGUUUGACAUUUCCUUAACGACGUAGCUGUUGGUUUAGCUUGAGAUAGCGUAUACAGAAAACUGGAAAGUAUAACUAAGCAGAUUUUUAAAAUAACAACAAAUAUGGUUGCUAUGUUAGAGUGAAAGAGUUAAAAUCAGGUCAAGGAAUAAAAUCACAAGAUGCCCAACAAUCCUGGUGCGGUUUACUCUAGAUCAGAGCUUCAGGGUAAAUGAUUUAGAUUUAUGGUACAACCAGAUUUAUAGUCAUUCCUUUCUGGUUAAUCCAAAUUCUGUCCUGUACAUUUAAUCUCUCAAAAGGUAAAUAAAGGCACAUAAUAUUGGAAUAGAAUCCUUUUUUUUUUUUUCUGUUGGAUUCAAUGCUUUCAUAAUCUUCAUGAAAAAAUGCUCUUAGAUGGGUAAAAACUGAUUUAGAAAUGGAGGCAGCCAUUUCCCAGUAGAUAUUCUUUUUCUUUUUUGGUCGCACCUGCAGCAUAUGUAAAUUUCCAAGGCAGGGAUUGAACCUGUACCACAGCAGCGACCUAAGCCAUUGUAGUCACAAUGGUGCAUCUUAACCUGCUGUGCCACUAGGGAACUCCAGAUAGUAUAUUCUGAUACACAGUAUUGAUACAUGCAGAUAUAUCAUGUUACAGAAUGAAGUGGCCAUUUUUGUGAGAUGAAUUUUCUAAAGAACACUUUGAAAUAUUGAAGGUUUGGAUUACUGUAAAACAAAUUUCCUCCCUCACAAAUUAAAGCUUUUGAUCCCCGUAAUUGCCAAACAUAUAAAUUCUAAUGAGGAUAUUAAAUCUAAGUGUCUAAAUUCUCUCUUUACUAAAAACUUUAAGAAAAUCUCAAAUAAAAGUCUGGAUUGAUAAACGUGCCAAAAAAUUAUUUUUCCAUUUUAAAUUUAAAAAUUUACUGUAAUAGGAGUUCCCAUCAUGGCUCAAGGGUAACAAACCCGACUAGUAUCCAUGAGGAUUUGGGUUCCAUCCCUGGCCUUGCUCAGUGGGUUAAUAAGGAUCUGGUGUUGCCAUGAGCUGUGGUGUAGGUCACAGAUGUGGCUUGGAUCCCACAGUGUUGCUGUGUCUGUGGUUUAGGCCAGCAGCUGCAGCUCUGAUUGGACCACUAGUCUGGGAACUUCCAUAUGCUGCAGGUGUGGCCUUAAAAAGAAAAAAAAAAUUACUAUAAUGUAUGAGACAAGGAGCAUGGAUUGCAUUUGAUUUUGCUUAGUGAUGUUCUCUUUUGAUUAAAAAUGUAAGUUAAAGUUUAAACACAUUUAUUUGGAAAGAAAUUUCUUAGAUUUUUGUUACUUAGCAAUUUAGAGUUUAAUGACUCUUUAUAUUGCUAAUAAACAAUUUUUGCAGUUGGCAUUGCUAAGUUGAAAGAAGUGAGUGAGAGAACAUCAAAACACUUCUGUACUGCUUCAUUUUAAACUUGCUCUUUUCUUCAUCUGAGCAUCCAGAGCAUUAUAUUCUGGAUUCUUUUGGUACCAAUCGACAAGAAGGACAUGAAAGUGACAUUGGAAAGUUACUUUCUAGCCCUUCUACAGGUACGAACCUAACCCAACCUGAGACCUUGCCUUGAGAUCAGAUUGGACCAAACUGCACAUCUGUCAUUUGAUAAUCUCAAGGUAUCUCAAGCAUUCAAAGAGAAACUGGAGGUUUCUAGGGUAUCUGGGUUACACACUUAGUUAGAUAAGCCAAUUCUAAUUUCUUUAGCACUGUCAUUCCUGUAUAUAUUUACAAGGGGGAUAAAAAAGACUCUAAAGAGUUUCAAAUCUCUUUUAUAUUGUACAGCUUACCAUAAAACAGCAUAUUAUGUACAAUUUGUUUUGAAAAGGUAUAUAUCAGAAUUCAUAAUACUUAGGGAGCUCAGAUGUUUUCUUAGGUUAUAAUAUGUCCCUGUGUCCGGGAAGUAACAAAUUGGCUCCUAAUUUUACAGCUGGAUAAACUUCAACACAUUGAGAACAGGUGAUUUGCUGAUGAUCUUGAUGGAAAGUGGGGCUUUGAGCUCUGAACUUUGACUCCUUUUGCAAUCUCAUGAUGGAAAACAUGAGAGUGACCUGAAUUAAAAAGGAAUGUCCAGAAGGUCAUUUGCUGUAAUUUCAUCUUCAUUAUGGUGCUUAGGUGUGAGGAUGCUGCCAGCCUAGGAGGAACAGAGGCAGGAUUCAGCACUGGGCAGAAUCAUACAGUUUCUUCUACCCCACUGCUAGGAAAAGCUACCAUCAUUUUAGUUUCUUUGGGCAAAUCAGAAUCUGUGACUACUGUGGAAGAGGGGUCCAUGCUGAGGUGUUUUUAAAGGAAUACUUAGAAGAAAGACAAAUGAUCUUUGGUGGAAGAGAGUUUUGCCCUCUGCUCACUCUUUUAGGAAUCAUUAGCAGAAAGAGCUGGGGCAGGCAGGCGGCAGCCCCGAAGUGUUAGGACAUCUUUAGAUCAGUGCCUCUCACUGAUCUAACCAGUAUUUUGUGGUAUCCCAUCUUGAAAUGGGAAUUUCUUCCCAUUUAGCGUUUAGACACACAGUGUAACCUGUUUAGACACACAAUUUUAAAAAGUCAAUAUAGGAGUUCCUGUUGUGGCGCAGUGGAAACAAAUCCAACUAGGAACCAUGAGGUUGCCGGUUCGAUCCCUGGCCUCACUCAGUGGGUUAAGAAUCCGGCAAUGCCAUGAGCUGUGGUGUAGGUCGCAGACACAGCUCAGAUCUGGCGUUGAUGUGGCUGUGGUGUAGGCUGGCCUGUAGGUGUGAUUUGACCACUAGCCUGGGAACCUCCGUAUGCCAUGAGUGCAGCCC